This 577-nucleotide ribosomal RNA is filed under the name uncultured bacterium. RNAcentral describes it as "bacterial SSU rRNA". It matches the Rfam family "Bacterial small subunit ribosomal RNA", at positions 102 to 694 of the family's 1533-position model. The record is from RNAcentral.
ACGGGUGAGUAACACGUGGGUAACCUGCCCCUCACUCUGGGAUAACUCCGGGAAACCGGGGCUAAUACCGGAUACGACCUCCUUGGGCAUCCUCGGUGGUGGAAAGUUUUUCGGUGAGGGAUGGACCCGCGGCCUAUCAGCUUGUUGGUGGGGUAAUGGCCUACCAAGGCUUUGACGGGUAGCCGGCCUGAGAGGGCGACCGGCCACACUGGGACUGAGACACGGCCCAGACUCCUACGGGAGGCAGCAGUGGGGAAUAUUGCACAAUGGGCGAAAGCCUGAUGCAGCGACGCCGCGUGAGGGAUGACGGCCUUCGGGUUGUAAACCUCUUUCAGCAGGGACGAAGCGCAAGUGACUGUACCUGCAGAAGAAGCACCGGCUAACUACGUGCCAGCAGCCGCGGUAAUACGUAGGGUGCGAGCGUUGUCCGGAUUUAUUGGGCGUAAAGAGCUUGUAGGCGGCUCGUCGCGUCGGGUGUGAAAACCCGCGGCUUAACCGCGGGCCUGCACCCGAUACGGGCGGGCUAGAGUUCGGCAGGGGAGACUGGAAUUCCUGGUGUAGCGGUGGAAUGCGCAGA